GUCAGGAUGGCCGAGCGGUCUAAGGCGCUGCGUUCAGGUCGCAGUCCACUGGGCGUUGGUUUCAAAUCCACAUUUUUUGACA
Trichonephila clavipes is the source of this 82-nucleotide non-coding RNA. The record is from the annotation of a GenBank genome assembly. NCBI's taxonomy places the organism in Eukaryota, Metazoa, Arthropoda, Arachnida, Araneae, Nephilidae.